CGGGGCGUCAUAGAGGGUGAGAAUCCCGUCUGUGACCGGCGAUCAAGCCCGUGUGAAAGUCCUUCGACGAGUCGAGUUGUUUGGGAAUGCAGCUCAAAAUGGGUGGUAAAUUUCAUCUAAAGCUAAAUACCGGCCAGAGACCGAUAGCGCACAAGUAGAGUGAUCGAAAGAUGAAAAGCACUUUGGAAAGAGAGUCAAACAGUACGUGAAAUUGUUGAAAGGGAAGCGCUUGCGACCAGACCUGCUUCCGGGCGAUCAGCCGUCCUUCUGGGCGGUGCACUCGCCCGUAGACAGGCCAGCAUCGGUUUCGGCGGCCGGAUAAAGACCUCGGGAAUGUGGCUCCUCUCGGGGAGUGUUAUAGCCCUUGGUGCAAUGCGACCUGCCGGGACCGAGGACCGCGCUUCGGCUAGGAUGCUGGCGUAAUGGUCGUAAGCGGCCCGUCUUGAAACACGGACCAAGGAGUCUAACAUCUAUGCGAGUGUUUGGGUGUUAAACCCAUGCGCGGAAUGAAAGUGAACGGAGGUGGGAACCCAUUAGGGCGCACCAUCGACCGAUCCAGAUGUCUUCGGAUGGAUUUGAGUACGAGCAUAGCUGUUGGGACCCGAAAGAUGGUGAACUAUGCCUGAAUAGGGUGAAGCCAGAGGAAACUCUGGU
RNAcentral lists this ribosomal RNA (654 nucleotides) under Megalospora pulverata. Its description in RNAcentral is "eukaryotic LSU rRNA". It matches the Rfam family "Eukaryotic large subunit ribosomal RNA", at positions 196 to 868 of the family's 3401-position model. Lineage: Eukaryota; Fungi; Ascomycota; Lecanoromycetes; Teloschistales; Megalosporaceae. The record is from RNAcentral.